AGUGAACGCUGGCGGUAGGCCUAACACAUGCAAGUCGAACGGCAGCACAGUAAGAGCUUGCUCUUACGGGUGGCGAGUGGCGGACGGGUGAGGAAUACAUCGGAAUCUACUUUUUCGUGGGGGAUAACGUAGGGAAACUUACGCUAAUACCGCAUACGACCUACGGGUGAAAGCUGGGGAUCUUCGGAUCUUGCGCGAUUGAAUGAGCCGAUGUCGGAUUAGCUAGUUGGCGGGGUAAAGGCCCACCAAGGCGACGAUCCGUAGCUGGUCUGAGAGGAUGAUCAGCCACACUGGAACUGAGACACGGUCCAGACUCCUACGGGAGGCAGCAGUGGGGAAUAUUGGACAAUGGGCGCAAGCCUGAUCCAGCCAUACCGCGUGGGUGAAGAAGGCCUUCGGGUUGUAAAGCCCUUUUGUUGGGAAAGAAAAGCAGCAGGUUAAUACCCCGCUGUUCUGACGGUACCAAAAGAAUAAGCACCGGCUAACUUCGUG
This 492-nucleotide ribosomal RNA is filed under the name uncultured bacterium. RNAcentral's name for it is "partial 16S ribosomal RNA". It matches the Rfam family "Bacterial small subunit ribosomal RNA", at positions 29 to 507 of the family's 1533-position model. The record is from RNAcentral.